This 433-nucleotide ribosomal RNA is filed under the name uncultured bacterium. Its description in RNAcentral is "partial 16S ribosomal RNA". It matches the Rfam family "Bacterial small subunit ribosomal RNA", at positions 29 to 507 of the family's 1533-position model. The record is from RNAcentral.
AACGAACGCUGGCGGCAGGCCUAACACAUGCAAGUCGAGCGAGGACUUCGGUCCUAGCGGCGGACGGGUGAGUAACGCGUGGGAACGUGCCCUUUGCUUCGGAAUAGCCCUGGGAAACUGGGAGUAAUACCGGAUGAGCCCUUUGGGGGAAAGAUUUAUCGGCGAAGGAUCGGCCCGCGUUGGAUUAGGUAGUUGGUGGGGUAAUGGCCUACCAAGCCGACGAUCCAUAGCUGGUUUGAGAGGAUGAUCAGCCACACUGGGACUGAGACACGGCCCAGACUCCUACGGGAGGCAGCAGUGGGGGAUCUUAGACAAUGGGGGAAGCCCUGAUCUAGCCAUGCCGCGUGAGCGAUGAAGGCCUUAGGGUUGUAAAGCUCUUUCAGCUGGGAAGAUAAUGACGGUACCAGCAGAAGAAGCCCCGGCUAACUCCGUG